GUUUGAUCCUGGCUCAGAUUGAACGCUGGCGGCAUGCCUUACACAUGCAAGUCGAACGGUAACAGGUCUWCGGAUGCUGACGAGUGGCGAACGGGUGAGUAAUACAUCGGAACGUGCCUAGUAGUGGGGGAUAACUACUCGAAAGAGUGGCUAAUACCGCAUGAGAUCUACGGAUGAAAGCAGGGGAUCGCAAGACCUUGUGCUACUAGAGCGGCCGAUGGCAGAUUAGGUAGUUGGUGGGAUAAAAGCUUACCAAGCCGACGAUCUGUAGCUGGUCUGAGAGGACGAUCAGCCACACUGGGACUGAGACACGGCCCAGACUCCUACGGGAGGCAGCAGUGGGGAAUUUUGGACAAUGGGCGCAAGCCUGAUCCAGCAAUGCCGCGUGCAGGAUGAAGGCCUUCGGGUUGUAAACUGCUUUUGUACGGAACGAAAAGCCCUGGGUUAAUACCCUGGGGUCAUGACGGUACCGUAAGAAUAAGCACCGGCUAACUACGUGCCACCAGCCGCGGUAAUACGUAGGGUGCGAGCGUAAAUCGGAAUUACUGGGGCGUAAAGCGUGCGCA
Molecule: ribosomal RNA, 566 nt
Filed under: Comamonas sp. B0106
Lineage: Bacteria; Pseudomonadati; Pseudomonadota; Betaproteobacteria; Burkholderiales; Comamonadaceae
Description: bacterial SSU rRNA
Rfam family: Bacterial small subunit ribosomal RNA
Source: RNAcentral